This is a non-coding RNA of Caenorhabditis elegans, 21 nucleotides long. Lineage: Eukaryota; Metazoa; Nematoda; Chromadorea; Rhabditida; Rhabditidae. The record is from Ensembl.
UAAAUUUUCCACAGCCUAACU